This 253-nucleotide ribosomal RNA is filed under the name uncultured bacterium. RNAcentral describes it as "partial 16S ribosomal RNA". It matches the Rfam family "Bacterial small subunit ribosomal RNA", at positions 524 to 776 of the family's 1533-position model. The record is from RNAcentral.
UACGUAGGGUGCAAGCGUUGUCCGGAAUUAUUGGGCGUAAAGAGCUCGUAGGCGGUCUGUCACGUCGGCUGUGAAAUCCCGAGGCUCAACCUCGGGUCUGCAGUCGAUACGGGCAAACUAGAGUAUUGCAGGGGAGACUGGAAUUCCUGGUGUAGCGGUGAAAUGCGCAGAUAUCAGGAGGAACACCGGUGGCGAAGGCGGGUCUCUGGGCAAUAACUGACGCUGAGGAGCGAAAACGUGGGGAGCGAACAGG